GGAGAGAUGGCUCAGGGGUUAAGAGCACUGGAUGUUCUUCCAGAGGACCUGAGUUCAAUUCCCAGCACCA
Mesocricetus auratus (golden hamster) is the source of this 70-nucleotide non-coding RNA. The record is from Rfam. Lineage: Eukaryota; Metazoa; Chordata; Mammalia; Rodentia; Cricetidae.